GUGUUAUAUGAAGGAAGAAUAGGUUAGCAUUCCCCUUGCUAAGGAUGGAAAAGGUCCUAUUGAUCUUUACCAUAUAUAUGAUUAAGACUGCUUCAAAUAUACUCUGUGGCAUCUAACCAUGCUUGAUU
Small nuclear RNA from Monodelphis domestica (gray short-tailed opossum), 128 nucleotides. The record is from Ensembl. NCBI's taxonomy places the organism in Eukaryota, Metazoa, Chordata, Mammalia, Didelphimorphia, Didelphidae.